RNAcentral lists this ribosomal RNA (360 nucleotides) under uncultured bacterium. Its description in RNAcentral is "bacterial SSU rRNA". It matches the Rfam family "Bacterial small subunit ribosomal RNA", at positions 29 to 418 of the family's 1533-position model. The record is from RNAcentral.
AACGAACGCUGGCGGCAGGCUUAACACAUGCAAGUCGAACGCCCCGCAAGGGGAGUGGCAGACGGGUGAGUAACGCGUGGGAAUGUGCCCAAAGGUUCGGAACAACUCCGGGAAACUGGAGCUAAUACCGAAUGUGACCGAGAGGUGAAAGAUUUAUCGCCUUUGGAUCAGCCCGCGUCAGAUUAGCUAGUUGGUGGGGUAAUGGCCUACCAAGGCGACGAUCUGUAGCUGGUCUGAGAGGACGACCAGCCACACUGGGACUGAGACACGGCCCAGACUCCUACGGGAGGCAGCAGUGGGGAAUCUUGGACAAUGGGGGCAACCCUGAUCCAGCCAUGCCGCGUGAGUGAAGAAGGCCUU